This 253-nucleotide ribosomal RNA is filed under the name uncultured bacterium. Its description in RNAcentral is "partial 16S ribosomal RNA". It matches the Rfam family "Bacterial small subunit ribosomal RNA", at positions 524 to 776 of the family's 1533-position model. The record is from RNAcentral.
GACAGAGGGGGCAAGCGUUGCUCGGAAUUACUGGGCGUAAAGGGCGCGUAGGCGGCCUGUCAAGUCAACUGUGAAAUCUCCGGGCUUAACUCGGAACGGUCAGUUGAUACUGUCAGGCUAGAGUGCAGAAAGGGCAAUCGGAAUUCUUGGUGUAGCGGUGAAAUGCGUAGAUAUCAAGAGGAACACCUGAGGCGAAGGCGGGUUGCUAGGCUGACACUGACGCUGAGGCGCGAAAGCCAGGGGAGCAAACGGG